GAUGAACGCUGGCGGCGUGCCUAACACAUGCAAGUCGAGCGGAGAAUUGUUGCUUGCAACAAUUCUUAGCGGCGGACGGGUGAGUAACACGUGGGUAACCUGCCCUAAACAAAGGGAUAACAAUGAGAAAUCAUUGCUAAUACCGUAUAAGCUUACACUAUCGCAUGAUAGAGUAAGAAAAGAUUUAUCGGUUUAGGAGGGGCCCGCGUCUGAUUAGCUAGUUGGAGAGGUAACGGCUCACCAAGGCGACGAUCAGUAGCCGACCUGAGAGGGUGAUCGGCCACAUUGGGACUGAGACACGGCCCAAACUCCUACGGGAGGCAGCAGUGGGGAAUAUUGCACAAUGGAGGAAACUCUGAUGCAGCAACGCCGCGUGAAGGAAGAAGGUUUUCGGAUCGUAAACCUCUAUCUACAGGGAAGAAAAAAAUGACGGUACCUGAGGAAGAAGCCCCGGCUAACUACGUG
This 465-nucleotide ribosomal RNA is filed under the name uncultured bacterium. RNAcentral's name for it is "partial 16S ribosomal RNA". It matches the Rfam family "Bacterial small subunit ribosomal RNA", at positions 28 to 507 of the family's 1533-position model. The record is from RNAcentral.